GGUUUGGCACCUCGAUGUCGGCUCAUCGCAUCCUGGGGCUGGAGAAGGUCCCAAGGGUUGGGCUGUUCGCCCAUUAAAGCGGUACGUGAGCUGGGUUUAGAACGUCGUGAGACAGUUCGGUCCCUAUCUGUCGCGGGCGUAGGAGAUUUGAGGGGAGCUGCUUCUAGUACGAGAGGACCGAAGUGGACGAACCCCUAGUGUACCAGUUGUCUCUCCAGAGGCAUUGCUGGGUAGCUAUGUUCGGAAGGGAUAAGCGCUGAAAGCAUCUAAGUGCGAAGCCCACCUCAAGAUGAAAUCUCCCUUCCCGAUUCGUCGGGACUAAAGGCUCCUCGGAGAUGACGAGGUUGAUAGGCCAUAGGUGUAAGCACAGUAAUGUGUUCAGCCGAAUGGUACUAAUAAGCCGUGAGGCUUAACCAU
This 417-nucleotide ribosomal RNA is filed under the name Caldithrix sp. RNAcentral's name for it is "partial 23S ribosomal RNA". It matches the Rfam family "Bacterial large subunit ribosomal RNA", at positions 2515 to 2925 of the family's 2925-position model. Lineage: Bacteria; Pseudomonadati; Calditrichota; Calditrichia; Calditrichales; Calditrichaceae. The record is from RNAcentral.